CAGCAGCACACUGUGGUUUGUU
Molecule: non-coding RNA, 22 nt
Filed under: Sarcophilus harrisii (Tasmanian devil)
Lineage: Eukaryota; Metazoa; Chordata; Mammalia; Dasyuromorphia; Dasyuridae
Also listed under: 3 other names
Source: RNAcentral